Molecule: ribosomal RNA, 868 nt
Filed under: uncultured Roseobacter sp.
Lineage: Bacteria; Pseudomonadati; Pseudomonadota; Alphaproteobacteria; Rhodobacterales; Roseobacteraceae
Description: bacterial SSU rRNA
Rfam family: Bacterial small subunit ribosomal RNA
Source: RNAcentral
ACGCAGCCAUGCCGCGUGUGUGAAGAAGGCCCUAGGGUUGUAAAGCACUUUCAAUUGGGAGGAAAAGCUAAUGGUUAAUAGCCAUUAGCCCUGACGUUACCUUUAGAAGAAGCACCGGCUAACUCCGUGCCAGCAGCCGCGGUAAUACGGAGGGUGCAAGCGUUAAUCGGAAUUACUGGGCGUAAAGCGCGCGUAGGCGGCUCUUUAAGUCGGAUGUGAAAGCCCCGGGCUCAACCUGGGAACUGCAUCCGAUACUGGAGGGCUAGAGUGUAGGAGAGGGAGGUAGAAUUCCAUGUGUAGCAGUGAAAUGCGUAGAUAUAUGGAGGAAUACCAGUGGCGAAGGCGGCCUCCUGGCUUAACACUGACGCUGAGGUGCGAAAGCGUGGGGAGCAAACGGGAUUAGAUACCCCGGUAGUCCACGCCGUAAACGAUGUCUACUAGCUGUAGGGGUACUUGAGACCUUUGUAGCGCAGCUAACGCACUAAGUAGACCGCCUGGGGAGUACGGCCGCAAGGUUAAAACUCAAAUGAAUUGACGGGGGCCCGCACAAGCAGUGGAGCAUGUGGUUUAAUUCGAUGCAACGCGAAGAACCUUACCAGGCCUUGACAUCCCCGGAACUUUCUAGAGAUAGAUUGGUGCCUUCGGGAACCGGGUGACAGGUGCUGCAUGGCUGUCGUCAGCUCGUGUCGUGAGAUGUUGGGUUAAGUCCCGUAACGAGCGCAACCCUUGUCCUUAGUUGCCAGCAGGUUAAGCUGGGCACUCUAGAGAAACUGCCCGUGAUAAGCGGGAGGAAGGUGUGGAUGACGUCAAGUCCUCAUGGCCCUUACGGGUUGGGCUACACACGUGCUACAAUGGCAGUGACAAUGGG